RNAcentral lists this transfer RNA (98 nucleotides) under Phlebotomus papatasi. RNAcentral describes it as "tRNA tRNA-Tyr". It matches the Rfam family "tRNA". Rfam says of the family: Transfer RNA (tRNA) molecules are approximately 80 nucleotides in length. Lineage: Eukaryota; Metazoa; Arthropoda; Insecta; Diptera; Psychodidae. The record is from RNAcentral.
CCUUCGAUAGCUCAGUUGGUAGAGCGGUGGACUGUAGAUGUGAGCUUUGAGCUGCAAUGGUAAUCCAUAGGUCGCUGGUUCAAAUCCGGCUCGAAGGA